RNAcentral lists this ribosomal RNA (729 nucleotides) under uncultured eukaryote. Its description in RNAcentral is "SSU rRNA". It matches the Rfam family "Eukaryotic small subunit ribosomal RNA", at positions 670 to 1426 of the family's 1831-position model. The record is from RNAcentral.
CGGGUGCACUGAUCCAGCCGGGCCUUUCCCUCUGUGGAACCCCAUGGCCUUCACUGGCUGUGGCGGGGAAACAGGACUUUUACUUUGAAAAAAUUAGAGUGCUCCAGGCAGGCCUAUGCUCGAAUACAUUAGCAUGGAAUAAUAGAAUAGGACGUGUGGUUCUAUUUUGUUGGUUUCUAGGACCGCCGUAAUGAUUAAUAGGGACAGUCGGGGGCAUCAGUAUUCAAUUGUCAGAGGUGAAAUUCUUGGAUCUAUUGAAGACUAACUACUGCGAAAGCAUUUGCCAAGGAUGUUUUCAUUGAUAAGGAACGAAAGUUAGGGGAUCGAAGACGAUCAGAUACCGUCGUAGUCUUAACUAUAAACUAUGCCGACUAGGGAUCGGACGAUGUUAUUCUUUGACGCGUUCGGCACCUUUCGAGAAAUCAAAGUGCUUGGGCUCCAGGGGGAGUAUGGUCGCAAGGCUGAAACUUAAAGAAAUUGACGGAAGGGCACCACCAGGGGUGGAACCUGCGGCUUAAUUUGACUCAACACGGGGAAACUCACCAGGUCCAGACACAGUGAGGAUUGACAGAUUGAGGGCUCUUUCUUGAUUCUGUGGGUGGUGGUGCAUGGCCGUUCUUAGUUGGUGGAGUGAUUUGUCUGCUUAAUUGCGAUAACGAACGAGACCUUAACCUGCUAAAUAGCCCGUACUGCUUUGGCAGUUCGCCGGCUUCUUAGAGGGACUAUCGG